This 119-nucleotide long non-coding RNA is filed under the name Mustela putorius furo (domestic ferret). RNAcentral describes it as "lncRNA (ENSMPUG00000031172.1)". Lineage: Eukaryota; Metazoa; Chordata; Mammalia; Carnivora; Mustelidae. The record is from RNAcentral.
UUGAAACAAGGUAUAUUGCUUCUGUUCUGUGAAGCUUCCUUCGCCAUGCUCAGAACGAUCUGGUAAUAAAAUGGAACUAGGCCUCUGCUCCAUUUUGACAGUUACUCAAUGAGGAGUCA